GACGAACGCUGGCGGCGUGCUUAACACAUGCAAGUCGAACGGAAAGGCCCUGCUUUUGUGGGGUGCUCGAGUGGCGAACGGGUGAGUAACACGUGAGUAACCUGCCCUUGACUUUGGGAUAACUUCAGGAAACUGGGGCUAAUAACGGAUAGGAGCUCCUGCUGCAUGGUGGGGGUUGGAAAGUUUCGGCGGUUGGGGAUGGACUCGCGGCUUAUCAGCUUGUUGGUGGGGUAGUGGCUUACCAAGGCUUUGACGGGUAGCCGGCCUGAGAGGGUGACCGGCCACAUUGGGACUGAGAUACGGCCCAGACUCCUACGGGAGGCAGCAGUGGGGAAUAUUGCACAAUGGGCGGAAGCCUGAUGCAGCAACGCCGCGUGCGGGAUGACGGCCUUCGGGUUGUAAACCGCUUUCGCCUGUGACGAAGCGUGAGUGACGGUAAUGGGUAAAGAAGCACCGGCUAACUACGUG
Molecule: ribosomal RNA, 468 nt
Filed under: uncultured bacterium
Lineage: Bacteria
Description: partial 16S ribosomal RNA
Rfam family: Bacterial small subunit ribosomal RNA
Source: RNAcentral